GGCUUCUUGUUGUGGUCCUUGAUUGUUCUGGGUCCUAGGAUUAGCCUCGGGUUAACUCGGUAGUUUACCUUUUUCUCUUUCACUCACAGUCGUGGCUAAUUGACCUAACUGCAUCUCUAAAUGGGCAAUAGCCUGGGUGUUGGAAGUUAAAAGCUAGCUCGUGGUCUGCAUGAAGUUGUUUAAUAUAGUGUUGGUGCUAGCAGUCAAUUUUGCUAGGAUUUCUAAACUCUUUUCUAGUGAGUUAAGCCUUUGAUCACUAUCAAAACCUGGUG
RNAcentral lists this long non-coding RNA (272 nucleotides) under Elaeis guineensis (African oil palm). RNAcentral describes it as "long non-coding RNA (EGUI_LNC009116)". The record is from RNAcentral. Lineage: Eukaryota; Viridiplantae; Streptophyta; Magnoliopsida; Arecales; Arecaceae.